This is a long non-coding RNA of Adelges cooleyi (spruce gall adelgid), 340 nucleotides long. RefSeq lists it as uncharacterized. NCBI's taxonomy places the organism in Eukaryota, Metazoa, Arthropoda, Insecta, Hemiptera, Adelgidae. The record is from RefSeq and is a predicted model, not a curated record. The transcript has 2 exons.
GAUCUCGUCGUGACAUCAGGCCUCCGACGUCUUCGAGUCGGCGCUCACAUGAGCUUAAAUGCACUAGCAGUCAUAUAGUAAUUAUUUAAAGCCACCGAAACGAUGAUGAGAAACACAAGUUUUUAAGUAAAAUUGUUGACUUAAAACUAAUCGACAUUACUUUGUUUUGAUUACAGUUUAUUGUAAAAUACUGUAACUUAUCUAUGAUGAAAAUAUAUUUUUAAAAUGUAUUAUUUUUGUGUAGGAAUGUUUUAACUACUAAAUUGUUGUUGUUAAUGUAUCAAAAUUAUAUACCGAAGUGAUUGUAAAAAAAAUAAAUAAUUAACCUUCAUAACUCAAA